GCGAAGUUUCACCUUCGACUAAAUUCAUUUGGUCACUCAAUUAAAAUGAAGAGUAGUAAAGAAAUAAAGAAAACCAGAAAAGACUAGCUAAGGGAAAAUAGAAAAGAGGAGGACCUACUCUACUGGAAGAUUUAUCCCAUCUAGCACCAUAGCAGACCCAGCCCACACAGGCCUCCUUCUGCCUCCAGCUACAGGAGAGAGAGGUCGUGGCGUCAUCCAUGGCGCCUUGGCCAUGGAUGGCCUCCACGUCGCCCUCCCCACGACCUAUAUGGAUGUCGACCGAAACCCUAGAGCACUCCCUUCCUUUCCCCCCUCAAUCCCCCUGCGCCCCCUACAUCUACUGCUCGGAUUUGAGCUCGGAAGAUCCGCGGUGACCGCUGCCUCUCCGUUGAUUGAUGCAUCCACAGGCCCCUCCGGCAUGCGAGGGCACGUCCUGGAGGUCCGUCCCGGUCGACAGCGUCCGUUCCGGCCGUUGGAGCAAGCAGGGGAGCCGCGUAGAAGGCGUCAUCGUCUUCUUCUUCGUCCGGCCAUCUCAACCCUCCGUCACCAGCGCCUCUCCGGUCCACCUCAGCCUUACUCAAGCACCUCUUCUGGCUCGCGGCGAUGGAGUCCAAGAGCCAGACGACAUCGCUGACGAUGACUCCUACUACUCUGGAGGUGCCUACUACUACAUGCAGCCCGCUGACGAC
Long non-coding RNA from Triticum urartu, 689 nucleotides. RefSeq lists it as uncharacterized. Lineage: Eukaryota; Viridiplantae; Streptophyta; Magnoliopsida; Poales; Poaceae. The record is from RefSeq and is a predicted model, not a curated record.